UCCUACGGGAGGCAGCAGUGGGGAAUAUUGCACAAUGGGCGAAAGCCUGAUGCAGCGACGCCGCGUGAGGGAUGACGGCCUUCGGAUUGUAAACCUCUUUCAGUAGGGAAGAAGCGAAAGUGACGGUACCUGCAGAAGAAGCGCCGGCUAACUACGUGCCAGCAGCCGCGGUAAUACGUAGGGCGCAAGCGUUAUCCGGAAUUAUUGGGCGUAAAGAGCUCGUAGGCGGUUUGUCG
RNAcentral lists this ribosomal RNA (236 nucleotides) under uncultured bacterium. RNAcentral describes it as "partial 16S ribosomal RNA". It matches the Rfam family "Bacterial small subunit ribosomal RNA", at positions 337 to 585 of the family's 1533-position model. The record is from RNAcentral.